RNAcentral lists this transfer RNA (76 nucleotides) under Anaerolineaceae bacterium. RNAcentral's name for it is "tRNA-Glu". It matches the Rfam family "tRNA". Rfam says of the family: Transfer RNA (tRNA) molecules are approximately 80 nucleotides in length. Their secondary structure includes four short double-helical elements and three loops (D, anti-codon, and T loops). Lineage: Bacteria; Bacillati; Chloroflexota; Anaerolineae; Anaerolineales; Anaerolineaceae. The record is from RNAcentral.
GCCCCCAUCGUCUAGUGGCCUAGGACGUGGCCCUCUCAAGGCCAAAACUCGGGUUCGAGUCCCGGUGGGGGCACCA